Molecule: long non-coding RNA, 997 nt
Filed under: Lynx pardinus (Iberian lynx)
Lineage: Eukaryota; Metazoa; Chordata; Mammalia; Carnivora; Felidae
Source: RNAcentral
CUUGCGAACAAGCAAGAAGUGAAACUCCAGCGCCCAAGCUCUGGGCAGGGGUGGCCUGGGAGGGAGGGGACAUUUGCGGAGGGUCCCUGCCCGUCUUCCCUGUGUCCCCGAGGAGGGCAAGGGGGCUCCCCACACAACCGUCUGCUGCCCAUUCCAGCAGCUGCUUGGAAGCCGAGAGUUUUUACAAGCAAACCCCAGACCAGAAAACACGCCCCGCCACAACGCUUCCGGAACGCGUCAGGUGGGCACAUUGCACCCGAUGAAGUCUGUCUGCCAAAGCUCGCUUGUAAGUUGGUGGUAAUCACACGUGCUUUUGUCCCUGGCAGCGAUCCCCGUUCUGCAGUCACUUGGUGCGAAGGGAUUCGAAUCUUCUCCCUUUUUCCAAAGAGGCUGCAAGGUAAGAACCGUAUUGAAGCCACUGUCACUGAAUGCAGUUUGCUGGUGUCGGACUGUCGUUCUAGGAAAACCCGGUUUGCCCAGAUCGUCCCUGGAGUAACAGCCACAGGUCUUUUUCUUUUUCUUUUUUUAAAGUUUAUUUUUAUUUAUUUUGAGAGAGAGAGAGAGCAUGAGUGCAAGUGGGGGAGGGGCAGAGAGAGGGAGAGAGAGAGAGAGAGAGAGAGAGAGAGAGAGAGAGAGAAAGAAUCCCAAGCAGGCUCCAUGCUGUCAGCACAGAGCCCCAGUGCGGGGAACUCGAACCCACAAACGGUGAGAUCACGAGCUGAGCUGAAGUCAAGAGUCAGACGCUUGACUGACAGCCUCCCAGACGCCCCACCUACAGCCCUUUUACACAGGCAAGUCCGAAGUCACUUGUCCACAAGGCAUCUCCCGAAGGAAACAGCGACAGGACCCGGGUAAGAGGAUGGUCUUUCAGGUGUUGCUUUCCCAGAGCUUAAGCACAGCAGUGUCAAGGGGCCUGGGGAGGGGGGUGGUCUGACCCCAGCCUUCCUCCUGCCCCUCCCAGCCCCUUCUCUACCCUCUAGACUAGAAGGGCAAGCUG